UACGUAGGUGACAAGCGUUGUCCGGAUUUACUGGGCGUAAAGAGCGCGCAGGCGGUCGUUCAAGUCGAGUGUGAAAGCCCCCGGCUCAACUGGGGAGGGUCAUUCGAUACUGAUCGACUCGAAGGCGGGAGAGGGUAGUGGAAUUCCCGGUGUAGUGGUGAAAUGCGUAGAUAUCGGAAGGAACAUCAGUGGCGAAAGCGACUUCCUGGACCAAUACUGACGCUCAUGUGCGAAAGCGUGGGGAGCAAACAGG
RNAcentral lists this ribosomal RNA (253 nucleotides) under uncultured bacterium. RNAcentral describes it as "partial 16S ribosomal RNA". It matches the Rfam family "Bacterial small subunit ribosomal RNA", at positions 524 to 776 of the family's 1533-position model. The record is from RNAcentral.